Molecule: microRNA precursor, 99 nt
Filed under: Guillardia theta CCMP2712
Lineage: Eukaryota; Cryptophyceae; Pyrenomonadales; Geminigeraceae
Description: microRNA mir-598
Source: RNAcentral
UGAUGAUGAUGAUGGUGAUGGUGGUGGUGAUGAUGGUGGUGAUGAUGUAGCAUCAGCAUCAUCAUUAUCCUCUCCUUAUCAUCAUCGUCAUCACCUUCC